Molecule: ribosomal RNA, 1270 nt
Filed under: Vibrio tubiashii
Lineage: Bacteria; Pseudomonadati; Pseudomonadota; Gammaproteobacteria; Vibrionales; Vibrionaceae
Description: bacterial SSU rRNA
Rfam family: Bacterial small subunit ribosomal RNA
Source: RNAcentral
ACCAAGGGGGAGGAUUCCUAUAGGUGGUUUGAGAAGGGAAUUUUCAGCCGCACAUGGGAACUGAGAACCAGGUCCAGACUUCCUACCGGGAGGCAACCAGUGGGGGAAUUUUUGCCCAAUGGGCGGCAAGCCUGAUGCAACCAUACCCGCGUGUAUGAAGAAGGCCUUCGGGUUUGAAAAGUACUUUCAGCAGUGAGGAAGGUGGUAGUGUUAAUAGCCUUAUCAUUUGCCGUUAGCUGCAGAAGAAGCCCCGGAUAAAUUCCGUGCAAGCAGCCGGGGUAAUACGGAGGGUGCGAGCGUUAAUCAGAAUUACUGGGCGUAAAGCGCAUGCAGGUGGUUUGUUAAGUCAGAUGUGAAAGCCCGGGGCUCAACCUUCGGAAUUGCAUUUGAAACUGGCAGACUAGAGUACUGUAGAGGGGGGUAGAAUUUCAGGUGUGGCGGUGAAAUGCGUAGAGAUCUGAAGGAAUACCGGUGGCGAAGGCGGCCCCCUGGACAGAUACUGACACUCAGAUGCGAAAGCGUGGGGAGCAAACAGGAUUAGAUACCCUGGUAGUCCACGCCGUAAACGAUGUCUACUUGGAGGUUGUGGCCUUGAGCCGUGGCUUUCGGAGCUAACGCGUUAAGUAGACCGCCUGGGGAGUACGGUCGCAAGAUUAAAACUCAAAUGAAUUGACGGGGGCCCGCACAAGCGGUGGAGCAUGUGGUUUAAUUCGAUGCAACGCGAAGAACCUUACCUACUCUUGACAUCCAGAGAACUUUCCAGAGAUGGAUUGGUGCCUUCGGGAACUCUGAGACAGGUGCUGCAUGGCUGUCGUCAGCUCGUGUUGUGAAAUGUUGGGUUAAGUCCCGCAACGAGCGCAACCCUUAUCCUUGUUUGCCAGCACUUCGGGUGGGAACUCCAGGGAGACUGCCGGUGAUAAACCGGAGGAAGGUGGGGACGACGUCAAGUCAUCAUGGCCCUUACGAGUAGGGCUACACACGUGCUACAAUGGCGCAUACAGAGGGCGGCCAACUUGCGAGAGUGAGCGAAUCCCAAAAAGUGCGUCGUAGUCCGGAUCGGAGUCUGCAACUCGACUCCGUGAAGUCGGAAUCGCUAGUAAUCGUGGAUCAGAAUGCCACGGUGAAUACGUUCCCGGGCCUUGUACACACCGCCCGUCACACCAUGGGAGUGGGCUGCAAAAGAAGUGGGUAGUUUAACCUUCGGGGGGACGCUCACCACUUUGUGGUUCAUGACUGGGGUGAAGUCGUAACAAGGUAGCCGAAGGGCGAA